Molecule: ribosomal RNA, 253 nt
Filed under: uncultured bacterium
Lineage: Bacteria
Description: partial 16S ribosomal RNA
Rfam family: Bacterial small subunit ribosomal RNA
Source: RNAcentral
UACGGAGGGGGCUAGCGUUGUUCGGAAUUACUGGGCGUAAAGCGCACGUAGGCGGCUUUGUAAGUCAGGGGUGAAAGCCUGGAGCUCAACUCCAGAACUGCCUUUGAGACUGCAUCGCUUGAAUCCGGGAGAGGUAAGUGGAAUUCCGCGUGUAGAGGUGAAAUUCGUAGAUAUUCGGAAGAACACCAGUGGCGAAGGCGGCUUACUGGACCGGGAUUGACGCUGAGGUGCGAAAGCGUGGGGAGCAAACAGG